Hylaeus anthracinus is the source of this 2265-nucleotide RNA transcript. RefSeq lists it as uncharacterized. The record is from RefSeq and is a predicted model, not a curated record. The transcript has 4 exons. Lineage: Eukaryota; Metazoa; Arthropoda; Insecta; Hymenoptera; Colletidae.
GUUCAUUUUUGCUGUAAAUUCCAUUAACAUCGUAAAGAGUAGCAUAUCGGUUUCUUCUUACGUUCUCCACUCUGUGACAAUGAAGGCUAUUCUUCUAUAAAUUGAAUUACUUUCGUUUGCGUGUUACUUCGAGUUACAUAGCAGAGAGGACGACAAUUUUUCUCUAGCGUUCUAUAUAGAUGUCAUCCAGAAAUUAUAUUAAGUUAUUCGUCUUCAAAGUAUCUGAAAAGUACAGUCACAUUGACAAAAAAGGACGUUUCCUUCGACUCCAUUGUUAACCAGUUAGAUUUCAUUCGUUUCUCUUUCAGAAAUUAAUUGUAUUAAUCUAGGGUUGAUUAUAAAUCGAAGGCCAAAUGUUCAUUCUUUAAAUAUAUUUUCCUGAACAGUUACAUUAAGAAAGAAAAGAUUGUGAUCAUGGAGACGACAUGGAUCAGCCAUUUCAGUCAAAUCGAGUUUCCAGAACAAUCAAGAAUUCAACCAUCUUACCAUCAUCAUCAUACUUAGUUUUAAUUUCAACCACUAGUGGCGUUGCAAUCUCACGCCACUCGUUACCAACAAUGAUAAAUGAGCCAACGAUGCUUCAUCGUCGAGGGGCCAGUUUGGUCAUCGGACGGCUCAGGAUCAGAUGCGAGGGAGGACAAGGAGACCAUGGCGACGAAAGAUGGACGUUGAGUGCGGAGGAUGUGGAGGACCUGAUUUGCGUGUACCGAGUGAGUGCAUUCAGAUUUUGAAAGCUGGUAAUAAUUAUUAAUUUAAUAAACAAUGGAGCGAAAAAGUCUGGAAAAAUUAGGAAAAGUUCUUUGGGAUUUCGUAAAUAUUUGCCUAUAUUGUCAUUUCGAUAUUAGAAUCUUGGAAGUGGGAAAGUAAAAUCUUACGUAUCACAAUAUUUACCUCCGUGGAACAAAUAUUUGUCCCUUCAAACGUUUUUUCGUAUCAUUGAAAGCAAUGGGUUAGUGUCAGGUUUCAGCCUUGGGCAGUUCACCCUGCAUAUUGAUUGAUUCAAUACAGGAAGUAUGGGGGACAUAGGUCGAUAUGGGAUUGGACCUACGCAUAAAGGAAAUACUAAUCACGUGAGGGCAAUGGAAGGGUCAUUGAAUUCUUUCGAAAUGGUAAUCUACCAAAUAGGGUCUAACAAUAGGUUCUUAUCCAUCUAGCAUUUAUUAUAUACAACCUUUUCCACCCUGAUAAGAAUCUUUCUUAGUAUCAACAGCCUAGAACAACUAACAUAUCAAUUUAGAUAAUUAAGGAACUAAGUAGAAGCUAGCCCUCCAGAAUUAAUUUUAUUCUCAAAAACUCUCGACCACACUUCAUCUCCUAAUGAAACUCCAACCUUUUACAUCUCGAAACAAAGAAAGUACGAUACAUUAAUAAUAAUAAAAAAAAAAAAAAGAAAAACGUAUCGCGGGUUGCGCACGCACACUCCAGCCCGCGGGGAAAUUCCCGCGAGACGGUAUCAACGCGCGAACGCGGCCAUAAUGCACGCUCACGCAAGGUACUGCCGAGUUCUUCAUUAUCGUCAGGGGCCUAAAUUGCGUGGGCGUACCUAUACCUUCGUACAACGUUACUUACCUUGAUAUGUACUGUAGCCAGUACCCGCGCACGCACACGAACGCGGUGCCUCUUGCACGGACACGAGCUCGAUCGGUACUCGAGAACGUCUGCGGUUACAGGUUCGCUAGCCGAGCAUGGCCGAGGCUGCUCGAAGACUGCCGAGAGCUACGAAGCCGGUUGUCGCGCUCCUCGCCAGAUGCGACGGCGAGUCAGUAUCGCGUCAGUCCUCCAGCGGAAUUGGUCAGUGAUCUGUGUCAGAGCAGGGCCAGGCGUCACUAAAACUCUCGCUCGAUUUACUCGUGAACCAUCGCUCCGUUUACCUUUUGUACGCGAUUCUACGUUGUCGGUGGUUCGACGUGGUUUCUCGUUUCGUCGAUUAUAUAUCCGCCCUUGCGCCUCCCCCUCGUCGAGAGCGCGCCCGGUGUCCGCCGCGUACACCUAUAGCCGCGUAUAUAUGUAUACGUGCACGUAGUACCAUAUACAGUAAUACAGUGCCACAGUGGAGUUACCAGUGGGGAAAACAAAAAUUAGUUUGCAAGCGGACGUGCCUCACGGCGACCGUCGUCCACCACGUUCUGGAUCGUACAACGGCGGCAGGUGAGUCACGAAAGCCUACCAUAGACAAAUCCAUAGCUUCCAAUGAUUCCAAAUGAAGUUUCCCAACACAGGUAUUUGUCAUUAUCACUGCUUUAUUAAUUUACUUUACCAUUUUAG